CAGCCAGGCGGGAGUGGAAUGGGCACAAGGGAGGGGCUGGUAGGGACGACCCCUCCCAUAUUGGGCCUUAAAGCAGAAGGGUGCCCCAGGUGGCGGUCCCAGAAGCCAGGUGGCCAGCCAAGGCAAGGGAGGAAGAAACCCCAGCUCCAGGGGCUCAGCAGGCAAAGGGAAUCACUGAGUGGGGGCACCACCCGUGGACUCCAAUAUCUCAACCUCUCCCUCCACAGGUUGGAGGUGGGAGGAACAACCCCCACCAAACCCAGAGCCGAAAACUGAGGGAGUUUUACAGACAGGACGGAGCUCCUGCACCUCGGAGCCUCAGUUGGGAAUGACCUGGGGUCUUGUCCUGAAGCUGAGUCUGGUGAACGUGCCCCAUUUGUAACAUGAGGGGUACUUCUCUGGAGGGACUGUAUGUUGACAGUGGCAGAGUGGAGCCCUGAAGUCCACCUGAGUGAAUAUACCAGGGCUUGAGAAUGGGCUUUGAUCCUUCCAUCCCCGCAAAAGGCAUUUUCCUACCACCUCCCAAGGCUGAUGGGGCAGUGUGGGCAUUUCAAGUGUUGCAGUUCUGUUGCCCAGCC
RNAcentral lists this long non-coding RNA (578 nucleotides) under Homo sapiens (human). RNAcentral describes it as "non-protein coding SEMA3B-AS1:2". Lineage: Eukaryota; Metazoa; Chordata; Mammalia; Primates; Hominidae. The record is from RNAcentral.